RNAcentral lists this ribosomal RNA (252 nucleotides) under uncultured bacterium. Its description in RNAcentral is "partial 16S ribosomal RNA". It matches the Rfam family "Bacterial small subunit ribosomal RNA", at positions 524 to 776 of the family's 1533-position model. The record is from RNAcentral.
UACGGAAGAUGCGAGCGUUAUCCGGAUUUAUUGGGUUUAAAGGGUGCGCAGGCGGCACGGCAAGCCGGCGGUCAAAUCGCGGGGCUCAACCCCGCCCAGCCGUCGGAACUGCCGGGCUAGAGUGGGCGAGAAGUGCGCGGAAUGCGUGGUGUAGCGGUGAAAUGCAUAGAUAUUACGCAGAACUCCGAUUGCGAAGGCAGCGCACCGGCGCCCUACUGACGCUCAGGCACGAAAGCGUGGGUAUCGAACAGG